This 610-nucleotide ribosomal RNA is filed under the name uncultured Lachnospiraceae bacterium. RNAcentral describes it as "bacterial SSU rRNA". It matches the Rfam family "Bacterial small subunit ribosomal RNA", at positions 81 to 707 of the family's 1533-position model. Lineage: Bacteria; Bacillati; Bacillota; Clostridia; Lachnospirales; Lachnospiraceae. The record is from RNAcentral.
GCUUCCUCAAUCGAGUGGCGAACGGGUGAGUAACGCGUGAGGAACCUGCCUCAAAGAGGGGGACAACAGUUGGAAACGACUGCUAAUACCGCAUAAGCCCACAGGUCGGCAUCGACCAGAGGGAAAAGGAGCAAUCCGCUUUGAGAUGGCCUCGCGUCCGAUUAGCUAGUUGGUGAGGUAAUGGCCCACCAAGGCAACGAUCGGUAGCCGGACUGAGAGGUUGAACGGCCACAUUGGGACUGAGACACGGCCCAGACUCCUACGGGAGGCAGCAGUGGGGAAUAUUGCACAAUGGGGGAAACCCUGAUGCAGCGACGCCGCGUGGAGGAAGAAGGUCUUCGGAUUGUAAACUCCUGUUGUUGAGGAAGAUAAUGACGGUACUCAACAAGGAAGUGACGGCUAACUACGUGCCAGCAGCCGCGGUAAAACGUAGGUCACAAGCGUUGUCCGGAAUUACUGGGUGUAAAGGGAGCGCAGGCGGGAAGACAAGUUGGAAGUGAAAUCUAUGGGCUCAACCCAUAAACUGCUUUCAAAACUGUUUUUCUUGAGUAGUGCAGAGGUAGGCGGAAUUCCCGGUGUAGCGGUGGAAUGCGUAGAUAUCGGGAGGAAC